This 414-nucleotide long non-coding RNA is filed under the name Homo sapiens (human). Its description in RNAcentral is "non-protein coding lnc-BRF1-31:9". Lineage: Eukaryota; Metazoa; Chordata; Mammalia; Primates; Hominidae. The record is from RNAcentral.
AUGGAGUUUGGGCUGAGCUGGCUUUUUCUUGUGGCUAUUUUAAAAGUGUCCAGUGUGAGGUGCAGCUGGUGGAGUCUGGGGGAGGCUUGGUACAGCCUGGGGGGUCCCUGAGACUCUCCUGUGCAGCCUCUGGAUUCACCUUUAGCAGCUAUGCCAUGAGCUGGGUCCGCCAGGCUCCAGGGAAGGGGCUGGAGUGGGUCUCAGCUAUUAGUGGUAGUGGUGGUAGCACAUACUACGCAGACUCCGUGAAGGGCCGGUUCACCAUCUCCAGAGACAAUUCCAAGAACACGCUGUAUCUGCAAAUGAACAGCCUGAGAGCCGAGGACACGGCCGUAUAUUACUGUGCGAAAGGGGCCUCCCACAAUGUGACUACUUUGACUACUGGGGCCAGGGAACCCUGGUCACCGUCUCCUC